Cannabis sativa is the source of this 3658-nucleotide RNA transcript. It is a transcript of the gene named protein argonaute 1C-like, with no coding region annotated. The transcript is spliced from 6 exons. Lineage: Eukaryota; Viridiplantae; Streptophyta; Magnoliopsida; Rosales; Cannabaceae. The record is from RefSeq and is a predicted model, not a curated record.
AGUAAUAGUAUCAGGCGCGAUUCAUCAAAGUUGUUCCUGAUAAAAUUUAUUUUAUUUUAAAAUAAUUAAAUGAUUAUUAAUCUUCGUUCCUAUUUUUUUUUAUUUUAUUUUACUGUUCCACCGAUUCAUUUUCCUCUUUGAAUUCUCCAAUUCGGUAAGCGAUUCCAUGACAGCGUAGAGAUUCUCUGUGAAACCCACCAAUUUCUCAAGCUUCACCAUUUUAUGCACGAUGUUGGAACAAAAAUCAAGUUUCUUCAUAUUAAUAUCUCCGAGUCUCAAAUCGGCAUUUAGAAAAUUAAACCUCACAAGCUCCAAAUUGGUGGUCCCUCCGGCGAUCAAGCUCCGGUAUGAAGUUUAGCUCGGUAUCGAACAAUGUGUAGUGCUCUACUCCUCUCUUAAGAGUUCCGCAAUUUCGAUCAGCAUUUUGUAGGAUGUGAUUUUCUUGCCAUAUGAGAAUGUGCUUGUUAUACCCAAAAUUUGAUGAGCAUAUCAGAAGAGUACACGUGUCGAGCUGAAAAGAAUAAAGAACUCAAACACGCAAUCGUAAGUACACUUGGCAUGGAAUAACUCGUUAGAAACACAAUUUACAAAGUAUUUUUAUAACUCAGUUGGCUGAAGAGUCUUAUAUGAGACAGAAAUAUACUAACUGCUAACUUAUGUAUCGACGAGAAACCAUGACAAUGCAAGUGUGCAUGACGAGGUAUUAACCUCGUCUCAUAGAAGAGAUACGAUAACAAUAAAAAUACUUAGCGUAUAUGGCAUGAUAUACAAACUAAGUAUAAAUAGUUUGGGGAGUCAAGGUGAUGGAUAGCGAGGCGUCUAUCUCGCUGUAAGAUGGCAUGCACGUGAGAAAGAUCAUCUCGACACCAGAAACUAUAGUUAUCAAAAUUAAAACAAUAUCAACCUCGGGAAGUCAUAUGACGAGCACCAGCUCGACAUCAAAGUUAACUCGGUUCCAUUGCCAGUGAGGCAUCCCCAUAAAAGCGGGAUAUUCACAGCUGAGUGAAUUUUAAUAAAAGCUGUAUUUACUUAGCGUGAUUUGUAAUCAAAUCUCAUGAUUUGAGGAAAUAAUUACAGUAAAGAUCACAAUCAACUUUUGUAAUUAAAUGCCCACUGUAUAAUUAUAAAUAGGGGUAGAAAAGAUAAAAAGGGGACAAAAAAACUCAUACAAGAGAUACCCUGAGAAAAGCAAUAAAAAAUCUGAAUAAGAUUGACUCGUGGACUAUGCAGAAUUUUAACUGUAAAACCACGUAAAAAAAACUCUGUGUUCAUAUUUUUUAUUUUUAUAGCUUUUAUUUUUUCUGUGUGAAAUCACUACUGUGAGGCUCAAAUUUGGUUACCAAAAAAUCGUGGUCAACUAUGAUAGCUUUCUUGUUCGAAUACGCGAAGAUGAAAUUCCUAAUUUGAUAAAUAUUGUAAGGGCAAACCUAUUCCUCUUUCUCUACAUGUGAUUUGGAAGCUCUAUUUUGUAAGUCUCGACAGCCUAAGAUGAUGACUAAUUGGCGGUCGUUUCAAUACUCUAGGCAUUUAAUCAAACAGAAGUAGAAUUCAAACUAGCGAAUGUGCAGAAAAUUUGGCAGAGAUUCUUGUACCGCAAUUCUACGAUGCUUGAAGCCGAGAGGCAAUUUUCGCAGAUGCUUGAAGAUGAUGUUUUUGCUACAUUUUACAGGUAAAUAAUUAUCUUCUCAUGCAAAUGCAUUUAAUGUUAAAAUUACUAUGAAUGUAUGAAACUUAUUUAAAUGUUAUUAUUUUAGGACAAAGAUUCAGACCAGUAAAGACUGAACUCAAACCUUAAGAAAAAUGUUGAAAUAAGGUAUUAUUUUAGGACAAAGAUUCAGACCAGUAAAAGACUGAACUCUCCCAACAAAUAAGAACUUCUAAUUUAUGGUGUCUAGGCAAUUUGAAUUGUAAUUUUUUGAACUUCUCACAGUGAAUGAUAAAUAAGUUACCUGGAACAAUGUUGUAUUUCUGAUUUCAUGUUUAAUAAAGAAAAUUAGCUUUCACUGCAGCCAAAAAUAUAAAAUCUCCAAAAGCAUGUUAAUCUUCACUUUUAAUGGUCUUUAUAAGUGUCUUCAUCUUGAAUCACUCUACAAAUGUUAAAGCAAUAGUUCCUGUUAAAAAUAGUAUAGUGAGUACUUCUGAGAAAGAGUUAAGUAGUGUUUAAAGUUUCCCACAACUUCUAACUCUAUUUUGGUGAGAAAGACGAGGUCUAUGGUGGCGAUAUUGGAGAUCGAUAUGGUGGAAUUUUCUGAUUCUGAGAAAGAGAAGAUUGAUGAGGAUGCAGUGAAGAAUGACGAUGGAGCGAUACUCUCACCAAGAUUGAACAAGACUCUCUCGUAGUGGCUUUGCGUAAUGAAGAAGGCAGAGACGACUACAAAAUGAGGUGAACUCUUUCUUCCAACACCUUUUCUAAUUUUGAAUGCAGAUUAUGAAGCUGGGAUUGGGGAUUCUGAUAACACUAAAAUUAUAAGUAGUGCUGCUGGGAUAUUAGGAAAUGUUAGAGUUAAUGAUGAUGAUAUAGAAGAGGACGUACUCUGCUAUGGUAUGGUUUGUCUUUCGAUUUAUGUAUUUAUUUUAUACAUGAGUAGUUAGUGAGCUGUUCAAAAUAGUACUAAUUAAAUUUAUUGUCCUGCAAUCCAAAUAGUCUAUACAUAUGUAUAUUUUUAUUGCUAAUCAGAUGAAAUGUUUCAGGUCAAGUUGAGGUUUAGAACCUACUUUUAUGAAUUUUAUUGGAAUAAAAUCUGGACAAGUAAGAAGAAAUGGUUCUUAACAUUCUCCUAUUUCUCUCUCUAUUUUUAGUUUCAUCAAAACUUAUAACUAUAACUUCUCCUUCUUCUUCUUAUUUUACUUGUAGCAGUAUGAUUAUGGAUGAAGCUAAUAUUGGUAAACCAAUUGAAAAUAAAGAGGAAUUUAGCUCAAUUAGACAACAAAAAAAGUGAUAAUAUUGAUUUGAUUUUGUAAUUCUAGCAUAUAAUAUUCAUCUAUAAUGGCUAUGAAAGAAAUAAGUUAUGACUAUAGUUUCAUGAAUAAUAACCACUUAAUCUGUUUUGAAUUUUCAUGUACACUGAUGUUAUGGUUUAUAUAUUUGCACAUGUAUUUACCACACGCAUUUACUUAAUGCAGCUAAAAUGCUAUUAUGUGUUAAGAUAUACUCUUCAUAGAGAAAUUCUUAUGGUGUUUGAUGUCUCAACCAUGAUCUUUGGUGUUGAUGUAACACACCCACACCCUGGAGAGGAUUUUAGUCCCUCAAUAACAGUUGGAACACUUAUGUUCUUCCGUAGAGAAACAGGAGAAAGACCUAAACGGAUUAUAUUCUACAGAGAUGGUGUCAGUGAAGGACAGUUCAGUCAAGUGUUAAAUUACAUUGCAACACAUGAUGUCGAUGUCACAGAUGCCACAAAUAAUGUCGAUGCCACAAAUGCAACAACCACUGCAGAUUUUAGGAGUACAACUUACACCUUCGUAACAAACUCGAGGGAAUGAGAAUGGUGGUGAUGAUAAUGAAUCCACGUUUUAGAUGUUUAGUUUAUUAUUUUUGUUAGUAUGAACAUUUAUGAACACUUUUAAAUAUUGGAACAAUGUUUAGUAUUAAAUAUGCAAACAAUGUAUGAACUCUUUUAGUAUUAAAUAUAAAAAUAUUUUGUUUUUAAGGAAAUUA